AUUGAACGCUGGCGGCAUGCUUUACACAUGCAAGUCGAACGGCAGCGCGGGCUUCGGCCUGGCGGCGAGUGGCGAACGGGUGAGUAAUACAUCGGAACGUGCCCAGUAGUGGGGGAUAGCUCGGCGAAAGCCGGAUUAAUACCGCAUACGACCUUAGGGUGAAAGCGGGGGAUCUUCGGACCUCGCGCUAUUGGAGCGGCCGAUGGCAGAUUAGCUAGUUGGUGGGGUAAAGGCCUACCAAGGCGACGAUCUGUAGCUGGUCUGAGAGGACGACCAGCCACACUGGGACUGAGACACGGCCCAGACUCCUACGGGAGGCAGCAGUGGGGAAUUUUGGACAAUGGGCGAAAGCCUGAUCCAGCAAUGCCGCGUGUGUGAUGAAGGCCUUCGGGUUGUAAAGCACUUUUGGCGGGAACGAAAAGGACUGUGCAAAUACCACGGUUCGAUGACGGUACCCGCAGAAUAAGCACCGGCUAACUACGUG
Molecule: ribosomal RNA, 484 nt
Filed under: uncultured bacterium
Lineage: Bacteria
Description: partial 16S ribosomal RNA
Rfam family: Bacterial small subunit ribosomal RNA
Source: RNAcentral